GAGAGGUAGAUUUUCAAGGAAGCCUGUCGCACUCUCUCCGGCGCUGGGCAUGCGCAGAGCGUACUAAACCACGCGCAGUACAAGCGAGUUAAAAAAGUUUGUUGGAGCUAUGCCCAUUGAGUCCAAGAGUUGUAUAAAUAAUUGGGAUGCUGUGAAUAAAGAAAAAUACUGUUGGACACACAAAAAGUUGUUCAUUACAAAAUUAGACGAAGUGUACACGAGUAUUAUGUAUUGUUAGUGACGAAAAAUUAAAAUCGAAAUGUUUUGGUAAGAAACGUUUGGAGCAAUGGCGAAAAAAAAGUUGUGCCCAGCAGAAGUGCAGUCAGUGAAUUAUAUUGAUGAUACCGAAUUUUACUAUUCCAAAUACUGAGGAAGAUAUCGAGUCAGGGAAUUCCGAACCAUCUUCAGAUUGAUCGAAUUGGAAAUUAUUGAAUUGUAUAUUUUAUUAAUUGAUCUCUUUGUGGAA
This is a long non-coding RNA of Diachasma alloeum, 466 nucleotides long. RefSeq lists it as uncharacterized. The record is from RefSeq and is a predicted model, not a curated record. The transcript is spliced from 3 exons. NCBI's taxonomy places the organism in Eukaryota, Metazoa, Arthropoda, Insecta, Hymenoptera, Braconidae.